AGAGCACUCUAAAGAGACUGCCGGUGACAAACCGGAGGAAGGUGGGGAUGACGUCAAGUCCUCAUGGCCCUUAUGGGUAGGGCUUCACACGUCAUACAAUGGUACGUACAGAGGGUUGCCAACCCGCGAGGGGGAGCUAAUCUCACAAAACGUAUCGUAGUCCGGAUCGUAGUCUGCAACUCGACUACGUGAAGCUGGAAUCGCUAGUAAUCGCGGAUCAGCAUGCCGCGGUGAAUACGUUCCCGGGUCUUGUACACACCGCCCGUCACACCAUGGGGUGGGGUUUUGCCAGAAGCCGUUA
Molecule: ribosomal RNA, 301 nt
Filed under: uncultured beta proteobacterium
Lineage: Bacteria; Pseudomonadati; Pseudomonadota; Betaproteobacteria
Description: bacterial SSU rRNA
Rfam family: Bacterial small subunit ribosomal RNA
Source: RNAcentral